Molecule: ribosomal RNA, 502 nt
Filed under: uncultured bacterium
Lineage: Bacteria
Description: bacterial SSU rRNA
Rfam family: Bacterial small subunit ribosomal RNA
Source: RNAcentral
CUGGCUCAGGAUGAACGCUAGCGGCAGGCUUAACACAUGCAAGUCGAGGGGCAGCGCGGGUAGCAAUACUGGCGGCGACCGGCGAAAGGGUGAGUAACGCGUGAGCAACAUGCCCGGUAUUGGAGGAUAGUCGAUGGAAACGUCGCGUAAUACUCCAUAACAACAGGAGUCGCAUGGCUUUUGUUUGAAAGAUUCAUUGAUACCGGAUUGGCUCGCGUACCAUUAGCUAGUUGGCGGGUAACGGCCCACCAAGGCGACGAUGGUUAGGGGUUCUGAGAGGAAGGUCCCCCACAUUGGAACUGAGACACGGUCCAGACUCCUACGGGAGGCAGCAGUGAGGAAUAUUGGUCAAUGGCCGAGAGGCUGAACCAGCCAUGCCGCGUGCCGGGAGGACGGCCCUAUGGGUUGUAAACCGCUUUUGUAGGGGAGCAAUAAGCGCUACGUGUAGCGCGAUGAGAGUACCCUGCGAAUAAGCAUCGGCUAACUCCGUGCCAGCCGCGGC